This 253-nucleotide ribosomal RNA is filed under the name uncultured bacterium. Its description in RNAcentral is "partial 16S ribosomal RNA". It matches the Rfam family "Bacterial small subunit ribosomal RNA", at positions 524 to 776 of the family's 1533-position model. The record is from RNAcentral.
UACGAAGGGGGCGAGCGUUGUUCGGAAUCACUGGGCUUAAAGAGUGCGUAGGUGGAUUUGCAAGUCAGGAGUGAAAUCCCGGGGCUCAACCCCGGAACUGCUUUUGAAACUGCAAGUCUAGAGUCCCGGAGGGGUUAGGAGAAUUCCGAGUGUAGAGGUGAAAUUCGCAGAUAUUCGGAGGAAUACCAGUGGCGUAGGCGCCUAACUGGACGGGCACUGACACUGAGGCACGAAAGCGUGGGGAUCAAACAGG